Salvelinus fontinalis (brook trout) is the source of this 1347-nucleotide long non-coding RNA. RefSeq lists it as uncharacterized. The transcript is spliced from 3 exons. The record is from RefSeq and is a predicted model, not a curated record. Lineage: Eukaryota; Metazoa; Chordata; Actinopteri; Salmoniformes; Salmonidae.
CAUGCCUUCCAGAGAGGGCGGGGGGGGAGUGAGACAGAGAUGCAGAAAAGGAAACAGAAAAAUUGAGUGGAAAUAAAGAGACAGACAGGCAAACAGAGAAAGAGAAUGGCGGCACUGACCUAAAUUGCGCUUUUGAUCGUCGAUGGCGAUGAAGCGAAUGCAGGGAUUAUUGGAGACGUACUUGGCGGCCCAGGGGACGUCGAUGUGAGCCUGGGCCUUUGUAGAAGAGGCCCAGCGCAUAGCACCGACAAGUAGCUUACCGCCCCAAGCUGCUGCCGCUGACUCUCCUCUAGCACUUUCGCAUAGGGAAACAGAGGGACAAUGUCAGGGAGUUUAAGCCUGUUACCAGGCCGGCAUCAGUUCGCCGAGCCUGGAUACACAGAACCUACAGUAUGCUUACAAUGGAUACCACUGAGGUGAUGGGACUGCGCCCGAAGUCUAGGAAUCUGUCAAGCUUUCAGAUCUAUCCGCUGCCUUCGACACUGUGAACCAUCGGAUCCUCGUCUUCACCGUCACAGAGCUGUGCAUCUCAGGCUUUGUUGGAUUGCAUCCUACCGGACAGGCCGCUAGUUAGUACCAGGUAGCGGCACAAAUCUCUGCAUGUCUCACAGAUAUCUCAGCUUGGAUGUCUGCCCACCACCUCAAGCUCAACCUCGACAAGACGGAGCUCCUCUUCUUCCCGGGGAAGGCCUGCCUCCACUAAGACCUCUUUCCAUCACGGUUGACAACUCCAGUGUCCACUUCCCAGAAUGCAAAGAGCUUUGGCGUGACCCUGGACAACAAACCCUCUGUGGUUCUCUGCAAACAUCAAAGCAGUGACUCGCUACAGCAGGGUCAUGCACCCCAACAUCCAUAGAGCACGACCCUACCUCACACAGGAAGCUGCACAGGUCCUAAUCCAGGCACGUCAUCUCCCGCCUGGACUACAAGUUCUCCCAUGUCACGCACUGCUCUGCACACUCCACUGGCAUCCAGUUGAAACUUUGAAAGUUCUUGAAAUUUUCCGAAUUGACUGACCAUGUCUAAAAGUAAUGAUGGACUGUCUUUUCUCUCUGCUUAUUUGAGUUGUUCUUGCCAUAAUAUGGACUUGGUCUUUUACCAAAUAGAGCUAUCUUCUGUAUACCACCCCUACCAUGUCACAACACAACUGAUUGACUGAAAUGCAUUAAGAAGGAAAGAAAUUCCACAAAUGAACUUUUAAUAAGGCACACCUAUUUAUUGAAAUGCAUUUCAGGUGACUACCUCAUGAAGCUGGUUGAGAGAAUGCCAAGAGUGUGCAAAGCUGUCAUCAAGGCAAAGGGUGACUACUUUGAAGAAUCUCAAAUCUCAAAUAUACUUUUUUGGUUA